AGAGUUUGAUCCUGGCUCAGAUUGAACGCUGGCGGCAGGCCUAACACAUGCAAGUCGAACGGUAACAUCUCUAGCUUGCUAGAAGAUGACGAGUGGCGGACGGGUGAGUAAUGCUUGGGAACUUGCCUUUGCGAGGGGGAUAACAGUUGGAAACGACUGCUAAUACCGCAUAAUGUCUUCGGACCAAACGGGGCUUCGGCUCCGGCGCAAAGAGAGGCCCAAGUGAGAUUAGCUAGCUGGUAAGGUAACGGCUUACCAAGGCGACGAUCUCUAGCUGUUCUGAGAGGAAGAUCAGCCACACUGGGACUGAGACACGGCCCAGACUCCUACGGGAGGCAGCAGUGGGGAAUAUUGCACAAUGGGGGAAACCCUGAUGCAGCCAUGCCGCGUGUGUGAAGAAGGCCUUCGGGUUGUAAAGCACUUUCAGUUGUGAGGAAAAGUUAGUAGUUAAUACCUGCUAGCCGUGACGUUAACAACAGAAGAAGCACCGGC
RNAcentral lists this ribosomal RNA (492 nucleotides) under uncultured Alteromonas sp. RNAcentral's name for it is "bacterial SSU rRNA". It matches the Rfam family "Bacterial small subunit ribosomal RNA", at positions 8 to 497 of the family's 1533-position model. The record is from RNAcentral. Lineage: Bacteria; Pseudomonadati; Pseudomonadota; Gammaproteobacteria; Alteromonadales; Alteromonadaceae.